RNAcentral lists this small RNA (328 nucleotides) under Histoplasma ohiense. RNAcentral's name for it is "hypothetical lncRNA". Lineage: Eukaryota; Fungi; Ascomycota; Eurotiomycetes; Onygenales; Ajellomycetaceae. The record is from RNAcentral.
GUAACGCAUGUGUGCUGCUCCAGUUCUCGUGGGCUUCGUACGAGGGAAGGGUUUUGAGGGCUUCCUUCUCCCACUUGCCCUUGGUAUGGGGAUUGGUCGCUAUCCUUUGCCAGCCCCGUCAAAGAUUGGACGGGCCUUACUUCCUGCUGUCACACACUCGGAUCUGAUCUUUUGUGUCUUGUGAUGGCUAUUUUUGAGCAUUGUGGUAUUUGAGCUGCGGCAGUGAAGCAGCUCCAUUUCAGCUUUCUCUCACCUGGCUUAUGAGCGCGGGGAAGAAUGUUUUGUUCUUGUCCCUCCUGCAGAAUCCUGAGCCAGGGUCCCAGCAGUC